CUGCCCUGAGGCACAUGGAGUUCCCAGGCUAGGGAUCAGAUCCCAGCCACGGCUGGGGCCUGAACUGCAGCUGAGGCAACGCCAGAUCCUUAACCCACUGUGCCAGGCUGCUGAUCAAACCUGCAUCCUGGCACUCCCAAGAUGCCACCAAUCCUGUUGCAUUUUCCAAUUCUACAGGUCUGGGGUGGGGCCUGAGGAUCUGCAUUUCUACCAGUUCCCAGAGGAUGUUGAUGCUGUGGGUACAGGGGCCACACUUUGAGAGCUGCUAGUGUAUUACACCUUCCCCCUCCUGUCUGCAAGCUAUGUCCCCUCUUUUUGUAAUCGCACUUUGAUUUUUCCUUGAGGAGCCAGCCCUCCUCCAGUCUCAGACCAUGUUUUUGGAUGUCGUCCACAUCCUCCCUCUGUCCACCCUCCACUCUAAGGAUGGGCCCAUGACCUGGGCUUGGCCAGCCAGGGAAUGGUCACAUUUAGCACAUGACCCAAUUUCAGCCAAAGGUCAUAAACCAGGAGGUCUUAGCAAGAACUCCUGGGAGAGCAACAAUUCCUUCCCAGAAGAUUUCUAAGUUGGUGGCCUGUUAACAUGAAGCAGUGGGAGACCGUAUUGCCAUAACCACAUAGGCAUAAGCCGCCUGAGAAUAAAGCCAACGUGGAGGAAAGGAUGAAAUGAGAGAGGCUGGAUGCCAUCUCCUGGAUAACUAGAUACACUUCUCCCCAAAGCCUGUCUAUCCCGGGACCUCAUCUGAGCCCUGUCUUUUUGCAUAAGACAGCAGAAUAUCUAUAAUCUCAAGGUUUUCAAACCCCACCCCACCCACUCCCAAAGUUCAGGCUAAGAGCCACCAAGCUGUAGCAAUAUCUUUAGAGUGUUCCUAAUUUCCAAACAAAUGCUUGAGCCUUCCCCUUAUUUUUGUCAUGGUCUGUCUUCAAUGAUGCUUCCAGUCAGAGUCCAUCUUACAUGAAUUACGCUCUUUCCCUCCCUAUGUGUCCAUUUUAUCUCAUCUCCAUUCCCCACAACAGUGAACCCCAAAGAAUUCCUGCUGGUCUCGGCCUGCAGACACACUGAGCCGGGUAUAUCACAGUGCUGGGCUUGGUAUCGGGAACCAGUAGGAACGCCCUGUCACACGGGCUUCAGGAACACUGGACCAUGACCGCAGGCGUCUGCCCUUUUCACCGAGAGACACGGGUGCAAUGUUGUCCUUUCGAGUUAUUCUCCUCGAAUUUACAGGAACAGAGUUUUCCAAAAAAAAAUCCCGGUAUUUAUCCACAUUUCCUAAUGACAACUCAGCCCAGUGACAGAAGGAACAGCAACUUUGCCCCAACUCAGGCCUAGAGAACCUUUUUAAGUGCCAAAUACAGGACAUGCCCUCUGCAGGACCUGCCCAGUGAAGGCUGUGCUCAGGGUUUCUGGCGACCACAGAGGACAGGCCUGCCUGCCCCACCUGCACCGUAACCAGUCACUUGCCUGCCUUUUCCUCCAGCAGAGAAUGUCACUUCCAGCGCCCACUCCCAGAUGGUGAGCCAGAGUGCUAGCUAGAGUCCUGAAGAAGCUCUGCAAGUGAUUUCAACGCGAAAUGAGGGCUAAGGACCGCGGACCUUGGGACUAUGGGAUUAGCUCCUGCAUGGAAAAUACACCACUUAGGAAGCACCUGGACUCACACAUUUUCACUUUCUCAAACUCUGACAGCUGGGACUUUGACUCAUUCUCCCACGGCCUGCUAUGCUCUCCAGUUACCUAACCGCAUCUGCCUGUAGAUUUCCGGCCUGUGAACUGCCUGAUGCCUGAUACCAGGGUGGCUCCUAAUCGUCCCCAAAUUAUUCAGUCUUGGCUUCUACUUGUGACUGUGGCCUAAAUUCUAAGGGUCUUGCCAAAGAACUGAUCAUUUAUUCAACAAACAGUUGGUUUUUGAAUAUCUACUAUCUGCAAGCCACUAAACUAACUUAUACGUGGGAAUUUACAUGGGAAGCAUAUGAGAAAUAUAAACUGAACAACACCUGUUCCCUGAGAAAAGACAAAGGACAGGGGGAGUUCUAGGAAAUCAGUUCGUUCAUUUUUUUGUGGCAGAAGAAGGAAUCUGGAGACAGACCAAGACUGGACAUAAGGUAGAGGUUUCAUGUUUAUGUAAAGAAGCAGAACUGAGAUUAUAAUCAUCAGUGACCAGAAACACGUACAUUGCUUUUAUAUUUAAUUUGAGCUCCAAUUAUGUCUUUCAAAAUUAUAUAAUGUCCACGUGGAUGACCACUGCCAGGUUAUAUGUGUUAUUAAAAUAGCAAGGUUUACAAAAAUAAAGCAUGAUUGCCAGCAUUCUGCAUAGUACUCUCUUCCCCUAAUUACGCCUGUUGAUGUGGUCUAAGCAUGGCACCACUGCGGGCCCUGUGGGUGCCUCUAUCCCCUUGGUGGCAGCUCCUAGACUCCAGGGACUAGAUCACUAGGCAGCUCUUCCUCUCCAUUUUCAACUAUGCCCUGCAAAUGUGUCCCUCUGUCCCUCUGUGCCUGCCCCAGGUGUCACCUGUCUGCCUCCUGCUGAAAAAGUUAAGCCCCAGCUUGCCCUGCCAAUCAUCCUCUGGUUUUCAGGAAGGAGGUAUCGCCGAUCACCAUCGGGUCUGAACCAAGCCCCAGGUAAGGGUGGUCCAGGUGAUGGUGAGAAGGCCGUGGGUUUCACCAAGGACUGAGGUGUCUUCCCAGAGCAGCCAGUGUCCGUGCUCUUCUGGGAGACAGUGAGGGCCACCAGGAUAGGUUCCUGGAGAUCCGAGCUUGGGAGGAGACAAGCUAUUUAUCAAAGUGAAAGAUGACUGCAGUUGGAGUUGCUAAAAACAAACCACUCCAGGUUGUAUCUACUUCCCCAAGCUCGCUUCUAAGUAGGUCAAAGUGUUCCCAAAGUAGAGCAGUGAGAAGGGCCCGUCUAUCACUUUGGCUGAAGGCUUGCCUUGCUAAGUGUCCACAGCAAGACU
Molecule: long non-coding RNA, 2946 nt
Filed under: Sus scrofa (pig)
Lineage: Eukaryota; Metazoa; Chordata; Mammalia; Artiodactyla; Suidae
Description: lncRNA (ENSSSCG00030038653.1)
Source: RNAcentral